This 254-nucleotide ribosomal RNA is filed under the name uncultured bacterium. RNAcentral describes it as "partial 16S ribosomal RNA". It matches the Rfam family "Bacterial small subunit ribosomal RNA", at positions 524 to 776 of the family's 1533-position model. The record is from RNAcentral.
UACGUAGGGUGCAAGCGUUUAAUCGGAAUUACUGGGCGUAAAGCGUGCGCAGGCGGUUUUGUAAGUCUGACGUGAAAUCCCCGGGCUUAACCUGGGAAUUGCGUUGGAGACUGCAAGGCUGGAGUCUGGCAGAGGGGGGUAGAAUUCCACGUGUAGCAGUGAAAUGCGUAGAGAUGUGGAGGAACACCGAUGGCGAAGGCAGCCCCCUGGGUCAAGAUUGACGCUCAUGCACGAAAGCGUGGGGAGCAAACAGG